RNAcentral lists this ribosomal RNA (627 nucleotides) under uncultured bacterium. RNAcentral's name for it is "bacterial SSU rRNA". It matches the Rfam family "Bacterial small subunit ribosomal RNA", at positions 202 to 829 of the family's 1533-position model. The record is from RNAcentral.
UAAAGAUUCAUCGCUGAUAGAUAGGCAUGCGUUCCAUUAGGCAGUUGGCGGGGUAACGGCCCACCAAACCGACGAUGGAUAGGGGUUCUGAGAGGAAGGUCCCCCACAUUGGUACUGAGACACGGACCAAACUCCUACGGGAGGCAGCAGUGAGGAAUAUUGGUCAAUGGGCGCGAGCCUGAACCAGCCAAGUCGCGUGAGGGAUGAAGGUUCUAUGGAUCGUAAACCUCUUUUAUAAGGGAAUAAAGUGUGGGACGUGUCCUAUUUUGUAUGUACCUUAUGAAUAAGGAUCGGCUAACUCCGUGCCAGCAGCCGCGGUAAUACGGAGGAUCCGAGCGUUAUCCGGAUUUAUUGGGUUUAAAGGGUGCGUAGGCGGCCUUUUAAGUCAGCGGUGAAAGUCUGUGGCUCAACCAUAGAAUUGCCGUUGAAACUGGGGGGCUUGAGUAUGUUUGAGGCAGGCGGAAUGCGUGGUGUAGCGGUGAAAUGCUUAGAUAUCACGCAGAACCCCGAUUGCGAAGGCAGCCUGCCAAGCCAUGACUGACGCUGAUGCACGAAAGCGUGGGGAUCAAACAGGAUUAGAUACCCUGGUAGUCCACGCAGUAAACGAUGAUCACUAGCUGUUUGCGA